Long non-coding RNA from Carica papaya (papaya), 1138 nucleotides. RefSeq lists it as uncharacterized. The record is from RefSeq and is a predicted model, not a curated record. Lineage: Eukaryota; Viridiplantae; Streptophyta; Magnoliopsida; Brassicales; Caricaceae.
GAAGAGCUGAAAUGAGAGAGGAUGAAAGGAGCCGAUUGGAUGAGAGAGGAGGCCAAGAUUGAGGAGGGGUCGGGUCGAGAAGGAGAAGGGAACGGCGCGUAAGGGAAAGACGAGCAAGGAAACUAGAAGGAGAGAAGGAAACGCGGUUGAAGAGGAAAGGAGGAGGUAUCGCGGAGGCGAAAAGCUGAAGGGAAGGGAGUCGCGCCCGAGAAACAGUGUGAUGGGAAAAUUCGAAGCCAAGCUAUACGCGACGUCGGUGUUAGAAAAAUCGAUAAGCUUCGUCCUUUCCAUUUCUUUUUUCAAGAUUCCCUUUUUCUAUUUCACACUAACCGGCGUGUAAGUGUGAAAUCAAUCAUCCAAUCUUUAAAGCAAGCGAGGAGUGCUCGCGGAGAACCAAGGAGACCAUCCUUCAGAAGUUAGGAGUCGAACACGAGGCUGUUCGAGUUUUCAGAGCACCGCACCCGAACUAGGUUUCGGGAAAUAGAGCACUCACCUCGCCACGGUGAGUGAGGGGUCUUCUCGAAAAAACCAGAAAUCGUCUCCGGUACUGUAAAUAAGGAAAAAGUGAAGCUAUUUGGCCUUCACAGCACCGAACCGAAUCCGGUAACCCUUUGUUUCCUUCCUCGUUGCUGUGUUUUGGUGAAUUCUGAUGCUAGUAUGUAGGUAUGAGUAUACGUAUAGAUUUUGGGAACCAAAUCGUCCACCUCUACAUAAGGAGCUGAAGUGGUGGUUUGCCAAAUACCGAAGAAUGAGAUUAUUGUUGGCCGUUGAUCAAGUGGAGUACAAUAUGUUGAGGGACUUUGGUAAGUAUUUCCUUAUUCUAACUUAGAUUGGGAUUUCAAAAGCCUAUGCAUGUGUGUUCUUGAAUUUGUAUGUGUUUUAAUAUAAAACACAUACUGACUUGAUUCCUUGAUAAAAGAGCAUAACCUGGACAUCUUCCGGCAAUGGGAACUACCAGGAAUGAGUUUGGGACACUUGAUUUGCCUGCUCUUGUAAUAUUGAACCUGAUUUCAUGUGAUUAUGGGACAUACGACAAGGGAAACCCUAACUUGUUGGAAAUCAUGAGAAGAUGGAAACCGAAAAAUUAAGGACUGAUAAAUAUUUGAAAUUGUGAUAAGUAACAAAUUAUAAGAGAAAA